CGGACGGGUGAGUAACGCGUGGGUAACCUGCCUUAUACAGGGGGAUAACAGUCAGAAAUGGCUGCUAAUACCGCAUAAGCGCACAGAGCUGCAUGGCUCAGUGUGAAGAACUCCGGUGGUAUAAGAUGGACCCGCGUUGGAUUAGCUUGUUGGUGGGGUAACGGCCCACCAAGGCGACGAUCAGUAGCCGGCCUGAGAGGGUGAACGGCCACAUUGGGACUGAGACACGGCCCAAACUCCUACGGGAGGCAGCAUG
Molecule: ribosomal RNA, 256 nt
Filed under: uncultured bacterium
Lineage: Bacteria
Description: partial 16S ribosomal RNA
Rfam family: Bacterial small subunit ribosomal RNA
Source: RNAcentral